CGUACACUCCUGCGGGAGGCAGCAGUGAGGAAUAUUGGACAAUGGGUGGAAGCCUGAUCCAGCCAUCCCGCGUGCAGGAAGACGGCCCUAUGGGUUGUAAACUGCUUUUAUCUGGGGAUAAACCUACUUACGUGUAAGUAGCUGAAGGUACCAGAAGAAUAAGCACCGGCUAACUCCGUGCCAGCAGCCGCGGUAAUACGGAGGGUGCAAGCGUUAUCCGGAUUUAUUGGGUUUAAAGGGUCCGUAGGCGGACUGAUAAGUCAGUGGUGAAAUCCGACAGCUUAACUGUCGAACUGCCAUUGAUACUGUUAGUCUUGAGUAAGGUUGAAGUGGCUGGAAUAAGUAGUGUAGCGGUGAAAUGCAUAGAUAUUACUUAGAACACCAAUUGCGAAGGCAGGUCACUAAGUCUUAACUGACGCUGAUGGACGAAAGCGUGGGGAGCGAACAGGAUUAGAAACCCGAGUAGUCCCA
Molecule: ribosomal RNA, 471 nt
Filed under: uncultured organism
Description: partial 16S ribosomal RNA
Rfam family: Bacterial small subunit ribosomal RNA
Source: RNAcentral